This 253-nucleotide ribosomal RNA is filed under the name uncultured bacterium. Its description in RNAcentral is "partial 16S ribosomal RNA". It matches the Rfam family "Bacterial small subunit ribosomal RNA", at positions 524 to 776 of the family's 1533-position model. The record is from RNAcentral.
UACGGAGGGGGCAAGCGUUGCCCGGAAUCACUGGGCGUAAAGGGCACGUAGGCGGCUUCGUAAGUCAGGGGUGAAAGCCCACGGCUCAACCCUAGAACUGCCCUUGAUACUGAUGAUCUUGAGUCCGGGAGAGGUGAGUGGAACUCCGAGUGUAGAGGUGAAACUCGUAGAUAUACGGAGGAACACCAGUGGCGAAGGCGGCUGACUGGACCGGUACUGACGCUGAGGCACGAAAGCGUGGGGAGCAAACAGG